Molecule: ribosomal RNA, 951 nt
Filed under: Triticum aestivum (bread wheat)
Lineage: Eukaryota; Viridiplantae; Streptophyta; Magnoliopsida; Poales; Poaceae
Description: partial small subunit ribosomal RNA
Source: RNAcentral
AUGUGCGUAUCAGAAAACCAAGGAGGAAUGAGAUUCCAUGAUAUCCACUGCUUCAAUGUAGCUUUGCUCGCCAAACAGGCAUGUCAUCUCAUUGAUAAUCAUGAUUCCUUGUGUGCUACUAUUCUGAGGGCCAAGUACUAUCCUGAUGGCGAUUCGAUGAAGUCCAAGCCAAAGCAUGACGCUUCCUUCACCUGGCAAAGCAUUAUGGCAGGCAUAACUACUCUGAAAUGUGGCUAUAUUUGGCGAGUGGGGAAUGCACAUAACAUCCAUAUUUGGGAAGAUGCUUGGAUCCCAAGCUGUGCCACUAGGAAGAUUGUGACCCCUAGGGGGGGACAAUUGUUAUCAAAAGUGGGUGACCUGAUUGACCCUUCCUCCAAUAAUUGGGAUGAGGACCUGAUUAGACAAACUAUGUCCCCCAUUGACGCACAACAGAUUCUUUCAAUCACACUUUCGCAACAUGAUAUGACAGAUUUCGUUGCCUGGAGUUAUAUAAAAAAUGGUAUGUUCUCGGUACGGUCUGCUUACUCUGUGGAGUGGAAUUAUCAGUAUGGGAGUAAACUAAAAUAUUCUAAUGGGAUGGGGCGAAUCACACCUAAUCCUAUAUGGUGUCAAAUAUGGAAGUUAUCUUGUCCGACAAAAGUAAAAAAAUCUAUAUGGCGUACAUUACAUGGCACUCUCCCAUGUCGGGUAACACUCGCUAACAAACAAAUGAAGGUCUCGCCUUCUUUCCCUAAUUGCUCUCAAGGUUUAGAAGAUACGAAACACAUGAUUUCCCCUUGUAGGAAAUCAAAGUAGGUUUGGAAGAAACUUGGGAUGGAUGAGAUUAUUCAUAAAGCUUGUGAGGUUUAUCAUGCUGGGGAGGCGAUAUUAGAAUACCUUCUACUUCUUCCAGACGAUGAUUUGAGUAUUAUGGGGUACAAAAAUAUACGAGAAAUGAUAGCUAUUUUGUGA